RNAcentral lists this non-coding RNA (28 nucleotides) under Homo sapiens (human). Lineage: Eukaryota; Metazoa; Chordata; Mammalia; Primates; Hominidae. The record is from RNAcentral.
UGCUAAUGCUGCCACCUGCAUUCUGGGA